UGGGGAAUAUUGGACAAUGGGGGCAACCCUGAUCCAGCAAUGCCGCGUGUGUGAAGAAGGCCUUCGGGUUGUAAAGCACUUUUAUCGGGAAAGAAACACGCAGGGCUAAUACCCUUGCGGACUGACGGUACCCGAUGAAUAAGCACCGGCUAACUCCGUGCCAGCAGCCGCGGUAAUACGGAGGGUGCAAGCGUUAAUCGGAAUUACUGGGCGUAAAGCGUGCGUAGGUGGUUCGUUAAGUCCGUUGUGAAAGCCCCGAGCUCAACUUGGGAAUUGCAGUGGAUACUGGCGAGCUGGAGUGCGGUAGAGGAAGGUGGAAUUCCCGGUGUAGCGGUGAAAUGCGUAGAGAUCGGGAGGAACACCAGUGGCGAAGGCGGCCUUCUGGACCAGCACUGACACUCAAGCACGAAAGCGUGGGGAGCAAACA
Molecule: ribosomal RNA, 427 nt
Filed under: uncultured Mizugakiibacter sp.
Lineage: Bacteria; Pseudomonadati; Pseudomonadota; Gammaproteobacteria; Lysobacterales; Rhodanobacteraceae
Description: bacterial SSU rRNA
Rfam family: Bacterial small subunit ribosomal RNA
Source: RNAcentral